Molecule: ribosomal RNA, 381 nt
Filed under: uncultured archaeon
Lineage: Archaea
Description: bacterial SSU rRNA
Rfam family: Archaeal small subunit ribosomal RNA
Source: RNAcentral
UAACACCGGCGGCCCGAGUGGUAGCCGUUUUUAUUGGGUCUAAAGGGUCCGUAGCCGGCCUGAUAAGUCCUUUGGGAAAUCUGGCAGCUUAACUGUCAGGCUUCUAAGGGAUACUGUCAGGCUUGGGACCGGAAGAGGUAAGGGGUACUCCAGGGGUAGGAGUGAAAUCUUGUAAUCCCUGGGGGACCAUCUGUGGCGAAGGCGCCUUACCAGAACGGGUCCGACGGUGAGGGACGAAAGCUAGGGGAGCAAACCGGAUUAGAUACCCGGGUAGUCCUAGCUGUAAACGAUGCUCGCUAGGUGUCAGACACGGUGCGACCGUGUUUGGUGCCGCAGGGAAGCCGUUAAGCGAGCCACCUGGGAAGUACGGUCGCAAGGCUG